GACAAGUCCAGCCGCCGCCAUCACCUCUCUAUUUCUGUUGAUGGUGGCCAGCCGCUGGGUCGCGCAGAGGAGAAGAGGCAGAACCGUGCCCAACCACCGCCGCUUCUGCCGCCAAGAAACCCCGAUGUGCCUCUGGUUGCCGGGAGACGGUGUGGUUGCUGCAGGAGGUAGCCACCGGAGCCGCUGCUCCAUUCUGCCAUUCCUUUUCAUUACAGUUUGUUGCUGAGCCACUAGAGCUUCUGGCCACUGACAGAGCCGCUGCCAGGCUGAUAUAGAGCUGUGGCUGCCCCAUUUUGUUAUUUCAGUAAGUAAAUUAUGUUUGGAAAGCCCUGCGUUAGUGUUCUGUUCUGUGUAAUAAAGUAAUCAUAAUGUUAAUAGUUUUAGGAGCUAGAAUCCGGUUUGCUUGUGCCAUUUGGGGCUGUUUCUGCUUUUGAGAGAGCGAGCAUAGCCGAGAUUUUGAUUGCCAGUGAUUUCGGGUCGAGAUAAAAGGAGUUGGUUAACGAGUUGGGUUGUGGUUCCAAUGUUGUGAGGUAGGGGCGCUUUCCAAACACUAUGUUUUCUGUAUUGGAAUUAUUACAUAUGGAUACUGAUGUGAGAUAUUGUGUAUUUGGUGAUUGUAUCUGCCUUAAGUAUUAUUUGAUUGACUCGAAUGAUUAUGGAUGUUAAUUUGGCUAAA
Molecule: long non-coding RNA, 676 nt
Organism: Arachis duranensis
Lineage: Eukaryota; Viridiplantae; Streptophyta; Magnoliopsida; Fabales; Fabaceae
Exons: 2
Source: RefSeq, a predicted model, not a curated record